Chlorocebus sabaeus (green monkey) is the source of this 149-nucleotide unclassified non-coding RNA. It matches the Rfam family "Y RNA". Rfam says of the family: Y RNAs are components of the Ro ribonucleoprotein particle (Ro RNP), in association with Ro60 and La proteins. The Y RNAs and Ro60 and La proteins are well conserved, but the function of the Ro RNP is not known. In humans the RNA component can be one of four small RNAs -- hY1, hY3, hY4 and hY5. Lineage: Eukaryota; Metazoa; Chordata; Mammalia; Primates; Cercopithecidae. The record is from Ensembl.
GGCUAGUCUCAAACUCCUGAGCUCUGGCAAUCCACCUGCCUUGGCCUCCCAAAGUGCUAGCAUUAUAGGCCUGAGCCACCACACCCAGCCCAGAUCAAACUUAUUGCACUUUUUCUCCCCUUCUCACUACUGUACUUGACUAGUCUUUA